UUUGAGGUUGCUAUUGCAGCUGGAGCAAAGGAAGUCGCAGUAUUUGCAUCAGCUUCUGAAGCUUUUUCUAAAUCAAACAUCAAUUGUAGCAUUAAAGAAAGCCUUGCCCGUUAUCUUGAUGUCACUCUUGCUGCAAAGAAAUUAGCCAUACCUGUAAGAGGGGGAAGGAAUGUAUACAUGCAAUUUUCUUAAUGGAUCAGAAUUCACAAGGACAAAAAGGGGAUCAGGCUGCUUACUUUGCAAACCAUUUACCGGUGGAACUUUUUCCAGUUAUCAUUGUAUAUGACUGCAAGGAUAACAAAGGAGUAAAUUCCAAACAACAGAGAUGCAAAUCUAAAGAAGAAAAAAUGACCACUUUAACAAGCUCAGCAAGUCCAGCUCCAAACCUACUGUGAAUAUAAUCAUAAUCCAUGUAAGAAUCAUCAAGCGUAUCAUGCAAAAGUCCUGCAGCAACAACCGUCACAUUAGCACCAAUCUUCGCCAACAAAAGCACCGUCUCCACACAAUGUUGCAAACAAAUGCAGAUAAUUUGAAUGAGUGGAACGAUAAGAGGCAGAAACGAAUCCUUGACGACUAUAUGUUGCGUAUGUCCUAUUAUGAUUCUGCUGUUAAGCUUGCAGAAAGCAGCAAUAUACAGAUUCAUCUUCGAGCGGCUAGAGACCAACUCUCAACCUGCGAAUGUGGAGGCUAUUUUAUCUACAACAAAUAAUCAAAAAUUAACAGUGCAUCAUAGUCAAAUUAAUCUGAACGAUUGGCUCCGGCAUCUCUCGAUGACCAAGGUUUCCAAGACAUGAAACAUCUUUGCUGUAUUAUUGAUGUGAAAAUUGCACCUUAAUUCGGUACAGAGUUCAGAAAAUUGGGAGCCCUAAUCCUUCGUUCCUUUCAUCCUCCUCUCCGUCGGUUAUGAAAUCCUUCGUUCCUUUCAUCCUCCUCUCUGUCGGUUACGACUUCACUCUAGCAAUACCCUCCCACUUUCUUAAAUCAUUAAUUGCCAACGAUGAGUAUUAUUGCCCUCAUCAUCUCCGCACCUCCCCUGCCAUCAUCUCCCCAGUUCUUAGAUUUUGGGCAUUUGUUCGGAUCAAGAAGGAAAAUUAUCGAAGAAGGCUUGGUGACUAUGGAGGCAUGAUGAUGAGAGUGAUAUCGAGAGUAGAGGAAAUGAUGGUGCAGUGCUCUGUGGAACCAGUAGUAGAGGAACUCGACUGGACCCAUAUGAAGCAAAGCCAUCAUUACUGCUCCAUCAGACCUCCAAAAAGUUCUUCUGUUGGUGGUCAGCGCUUAUGACAGGAUAGCAAUCAAAAUUAAUGGAAGUGAAGCUGUUACCAAUUUUGACACAACUACUUAUGAUGGUGAAAUACUUCCUCAAACCAAUAAUAGUGGCACAAAUAGCACUGAAUAAUGUGGAUGCUGCGAUACAAAGUUUCAAAAAACCACUAGAAUUAGAGCCAAAUGAUGGAAAAAUAAAGGAGGAACUUCUUGUUGUGAACAAGAAGGUAAGUGGAAUUAUGAGGCCAUUUGACUGCAUCUUCAAUUACUCGAGGAUUUUAUAUAAUAUCUCUAGCGAUUGAAAGAAGCUAAAAUCAAAACAUGGAAAAGUUCAACUUGGCAACAUCACUGUGGAUAUGGUGCUCAUCUUAACAAAUUAUGGAUAUGUCAAUUUUAUGUUUCCCAUGUGGCUAUGUGGGCAACACACCUAUUACUAGCACAUAGCCGAUAGUGUGCGGAUAACGUUAAUUGAUCUCAAAUCUUUGAAUUUUGAUAGGUUAUAGGUGGAAUGAGAGGAAUGACUGGAUUAUUGUGAGAAACAUUAUUACUUGAUCCUGAUGACGUGAGUUUGGUUGUAAUAUAUGCUAUGUAUUGAAGACAAGUGCAUUUUUUUUAAAAAUAUUGCAAAAAAAUAAAAAUUUGAUACAACAUCAAUAGACUUUUGGUGU
Molecule: RNA transcript, 1931 nt
Organism: Asparagus officinalis (garden asparagus)
Lineage: Eukaryota; Viridiplantae; Streptophyta; Magnoliopsida; Asparagales; Asparagaceae
Exons: 12
Source: RefSeq, a predicted model, not a curated record